RNAcentral lists this ribosomal RNA (157 nucleotides) under Alternaria tenuissima. RNAcentral describes it as "5.8S ribosomal RNA". It matches the Rfam family "5.8S ribosomal RNA". From Rfam's summary of the family: 5.8S ribosomal RNA (5.8S rRNA) is a component of the large subunit of the eukaryotic ribosome. It is transcribed by RNA polymerase I as part of the 45S precursor that also contains 18S and 28S rRNA. The record is from RNAcentral. Lineage: Eukaryota; Fungi; Ascomycota; Dothideomycetes; Pleosporales; Pleosporaceae.
AUUACAACUUUCAACAACGGAUCUCUUGGUUCUGGCAUCGAUGAAGAACGCAGCGAAAUGCGAUAAGUAGUGUGAAUUGCAGAAUUCAGUGAAUCAUCGAAUCUUUGAACGCACAUUGCGCCCUUUGGUAUUCCAAAGGGCAUGCCUGUUCGAGCGU